Long non-coding RNA from Homo sapiens (human), 1686 nucleotides. Ensembl annotates it as long intergenic non-protein coding RNA 2987. The record is from Ensembl. Lineage: Eukaryota; Metazoa; Chordata; Mammalia; Primates; Hominidae.
GGCCCCUCAGGAGGAAGGGGCGGGGAGAUCCCAGCUACUAGAGGACGCCCGUUCCAAUGGCAACUCUGCCAAGGCGCCUAUGAGAGCCUCUUGGCUUUUACCUGGUCUGCGAGAAAUCAAACUUUGGGCACAAGUCAUGAAGCCGACAAGCCCGGGAGACACAGUGUCAGAAUUACAAGGUGAGAUCAGCCGCCCGGCCAAGCUAUCUUCUCGCUAGCAGGUCUCGCAUCUGGGGCUCGAUCUCGUGCAGAGGAGCAUUUCCGAAGACACUGGCCGCUCCCACAAUGGCUCCGAAGAACCCAGCGACCAGCGGGUUCAUGAGUUUGUUGGGGCUGUCCACUCGGUACCAGCUGCGCAGGGAUGUCAGGACAAAGAAACAAGUUGCCUGGUUCCAGCCCUGCUUCAGCACGGGGCCUGUGGGGCCCCGGUAAGUCCCGGUGUUCCCGCACAAUCUCCUAACCCUGUGGAAGAAUCCCCUGUACUUGGAUUUGGAGAGGUCUGGCCAUGGAUUAACUUCACCUUGAUGGUCUCCAUGGGACAUAGGACCACCACGGCCUCGGCCACGCUAGCUCACUGGCCGCACCGCUGCCCGCCUUGCUGUUCACCAGUCCCUGGGCAUCCCGCAUCUGGUUGCUGAGGAACGCCUGACGCCGCCUUGUGGAUGAAGCCGCAGAGCAGGGAGCUGAGGCUGCGGCCCAGGCCCAGGCUGCCUUGGCUGCGACUGUGUGCCUGCAGGCCCCAUGCCCGGUAUCCGGUGGAUGCGAGUGCUAGUCCAGCUGCAGCUGCAUCUUCACGAACUCGGUGGGGAACGGGAUGCAGAUUUUUUUUUUCUUUUCCUUCCUUCCUUCCUUCCUUCCAACUUCCUUCCUUCCUUCCCCUUUCUUUCUUUCUUUUUUUUUUUUUUUUUUUUUUGACAGAAUUUUGCUCUUGUCCCCCAGGCUGGAGUGCAGUGGCGCGAUCUUGGCUCACUACAACCUGGAUUCAAGCGAUUCUCCUGCCUCAGCCUCCCGAGUAGCUGGGAUUACAGGCAUGUGCCACCAUUCCCGGCUAAUUUUUUUGUCUUUUUAGUAGAGACGGUGUUUCCCCAUGUUGGUCAGGCUGGUCUCAAACGCCUGACUCAGAUGAUCCGCCCGCCUCGGCCACCCAAAGUGCUGAGAUUACAGGCUUGAACCACCGCGCCUGGCCCUGUGAUGUAGAUUUUGAUGCUGCCAGCCAGGCUGCCUGCCGGGAUCGCCUGCCCUGGAGCAGGAGCAUCAGCCGUGCGUUCCAGGACGCAGGCAUGGCAUGACCGGCAGGAGGCGGAGUGCCCGGCGUCUCUUGGGAUCGGAGCCUCCUGAAUUCCACGCUGGGACCUUAAUUUGGUUUUAACACAAAUAAAGAUCUCACAUAAAGAUAAAAGGGGAUGUGUUGGCUUGUAAUUUUUGUUAAAAGCAAUGGUAUAUGUUGUAUAGGAUAGUGUAUUGGGAUCAACAGGUUUUUGGGGUUUUUUUUCAGCCCACUGACAUUGAAAGGGAUAAACAGUUUUUUGGUUAUUAGUGAGCAGUUUUCUCUCAGGCCAUAGUGUAGGGGUUUGUGGUCAUGUAGAUGAGAGAUAGGCUGGGAUUAAAAUUUGUUAUGGCAGUAAUAAGAGCAACAGAGCUAGACUCUGUCAAAAAAAAAAAAAACAUAGUUAGUAGAAGAAAAAAA